Molecule: long non-coding RNA, 851 nt
Filed under: Homo sapiens (human)
Lineage: Eukaryota; Metazoa; Chordata; Mammalia; Primates; Hominidae
Description: non-protein coding lnc-UBQLN2-6:1
Source: RNAcentral
ACAAUUAAAAGAGACUUUGGAGAGAUCUACUCAGGAAAAUUUUCUGAAUAGACAAAUGCUUUUAAAGGGGGUUCUAGACAGUCCGUCUUUUCUGCCUCCUUCUGCGAAGUAGGGCUACACUAAAACCUUGUCACAAUGUGACCUGAGCAAAACCAUUAUCAAGUGAUUUAGUUGUCUUGAACCAGACAAAAGAAAAUUGACAUGAUUUCAAGAUAGGUUUAGAAAAAUAAUCUGACUAGCAAAAAAAAAAAAAAAAAUGGGGGGUGGUUCCUAGGGAAUAUGAGACUUGAUAUUUUAGCAAAAAUUUAAAUAUGCUCUUUAUGAUACACACAUUUCUCGUUGCUUUACAAAUUUUAAAUGUAACACAAAUUUGUUUUUCACACUGUUUUGUUAGUUGAGGUAAGGCAUUCCUGCCGCACGCAGCAAUGACUCGUCCUGGAAAACCAGGGAGGCUGCAUAUCCUACUGUUCCUUCUCUACUAGCUGUGGCUCCACACUCUCACCUCCACCAAAGAAAGCAUUUCAGAAUUUAGGGGUGGAAAUGAUGACAACAUUGAAUAAUUCUAUUUUUUUCUUUUUUUUGAGACAGAGCCACUGUCGCUCAGGCUGAAGUGCAGUGGCGCAAUCUAGGCCCACUGCAGCCUCCGCCCCCCGGGGUCAAGCAAUUCUCCUGCCGCAGCCUCCCAAACAGCUGGGACCACCGGUGCCCGCCACCAUGCCCGGCCAAUUUUCCGCAUCCCUAGUAGAGACGGGGUUUCACCAUGUUGGUCAGGCUGAUCUCAAAUUCCUGACCUCAGGAGAUCUGCCUGCCUCGGCCUCCCAAAGUGCUGGGACCACAGGCGUGAGCCACCA